GACGAACGCUGGCGGCGUGCCUAAUACAUGCAAGUUGAGCGCUGAAGGUUGGUACUUGUACCAACUGGAUGAGCAGCGCACGGGUGAGUAACGCGUGGGGAAUCUGCCUUUGAGCGGGGGACAACAUUUGGAAACGAAUGCUAAUACCGCAUAAAAACUUUAAACACAAGUUUUAAGUUUGAAAGAUGCAAUUGCAUCACUCAAAGAUGAUCCCGCGUUGUAUUAGCUAGUUGGUGAGGUAAAGGCUCACCAAGGCGAUGAUACAUAGCCGACCUGAGAGGGUGAUCGGCCACAGUGGGACUGAGACACGGCCCAAACUCCUACGGGAGGCAGCAGUAGGGAAUCUUCGGCAAUGGACGAAAGUCUGACCGAGCAACGCCGCGUGAGUGAAGAAGGUUUUCGGAUCGUAAAACUCUGUUGGUAGAGAAGAACGUUGGUGAGAGUGGAAAGCUCAUCAAGUGACGGUAACUACCCAGAAAGGGACGGCUAACUACGUG
Molecule: ribosomal RNA, 497 nt
Filed under: uncultured bacterium
Lineage: Bacteria
Description: partial 16S ribosomal RNA
Rfam family: Bacterial small subunit ribosomal RNA
Source: RNAcentral